GCUCUGGUAGCACAGUGGUGGUGCGUCCGGCUGUUAACCGGAAGGUCGAAGGUUCAAAACCUUCCCAGGGCG
This 72-nucleotide transfer RNA is filed under the name Candidatus Diapherotrites archaeon CG09_land_8_20_14_0_10_32_12. RNAcentral's name for it is "tRNA-Asn". It matches the Rfam family "tRNA". From Rfam's summary of the family: Transfer RNA (tRNA) molecules are approximately 80 nucleotides in length. Their secondary structure includes four short double-helical elements and three loops (D, anti-codon, and T loops). Further hydrogen bonds mediate the characteristic L-shaped molecular structure. tRNAs have two regions of fundamental functional importance: the anti-codon, which is responsible for specific mRNA codon recognition, and the 3' end, to which the tRNAs corresponding amino acid is attached (by aminoacyl-tRNA synthetases). tRNAs cope with the degeneracy of the genetic code in two manners: having more than one tRNA (with a specific anti-codon) for a particular amino acid; and 'wobble' base-pairing, i.e. permitting non-standard base-pairing at the 3rd anti-codon position. The record is from RNAcentral. Lineage: Archaea; Nanobdellati; Candidatus Iainarchaeota.